RNAcentral lists this ribosomal RNA (332 nucleotides) under uncultured bacterium. RNAcentral's name for it is "bacterial SSU rRNA". It matches the Rfam family "Bacterial small subunit ribosomal RNA", at positions 568 to 899 of the family's 1533-position model. The record is from RNAcentral.
UGUGUAGGCGGUUGUUUAAGUUUGGUGUGAAAUCUCCCGGCUCAACUGGGAGGGUGCGCCGAAUACUGAAUGACUAGAGUGCGGGAGAGGAAAGUGGAAUUCCUGGUGUAGCGGUGAAAUGCGUAGAUAUCAGGAGGAACACCGGUGGUGUAGACGGCUUUCUGGACCGUAACUGACGCUGAAACACGAAAGCGUGGGUAGCAAACAGGAUUAGAUACCCUGGUAGUCCACGCCCUAAACGAUGCAUAUUUGGUGUGGGCAGUUCAUUCUGUCCGUGCCGGAGCUAACGCGUUAAAUAUGCCGCCGUGGGGAGUACAGUCGCAAGGCUAGAA